Molecule: ribosomal RNA, 468 nt
Filed under: uncultured bacterium
Lineage: Bacteria
Description: partial 16S ribosomal RNA
Rfam family: Bacterial small subunit ribosomal RNA
Source: RNAcentral
GGUGAACGCUGGCGGCGUGCUUAACACAUGCAAGUCGAACGGAAAGGCCCAAGCUUGCUUGGGUACUCGAGUGGCGAACGGGUGAGUAACACGUGGGUGAUCUGCCCUGCACUUCGGGAUAAGCCUGGGAAACUGGGUCUAAUACCGGAUAGGACGAUGGUUUGGAUGCCAUUGUGGAAAGUUUUUUCGGUGUGGGAUGAGCUCGCGGCCUAUCAGCUUGUUGGUGGGGUAAUGGCCUACCAAGGCGUCGACGGGUAGCCGGCCUGAGAGGGUGUACGGCCACAUUGGGACUGAGAUACGGCCCAGACUCCUACGGGGGGCAGCAGUGGGGAAUAUUGCACAAUGGGCGCAAGCCUGAUGCAGCGACGCCGCGUGGGGGAUGACGGCCUUCGGGUUGUAAACUCCUUUCGCUAGGGACGAAGCGUUUUUGUGACGGUACCUGGAGAAGAAGCACCGGCUAACUACGUG